This 492-nucleotide ribosomal RNA is filed under the name uncultured bacterium. RNAcentral's name for it is "partial 16S ribosomal RNA". It matches the Rfam family "Bacterial small subunit ribosomal RNA", at positions 29 to 507 of the family's 1533-position model. The record is from RNAcentral.
AGUGAACGCUGGCGGUAGGCCUAACACAUGCAAGUCGAACGGCAGCACAGUAAGAGCUUGCUCUUACGGGUGGCGAGUGGCGGACGGGUGAGGAAUACAUCGGAAUCUACCUUUUCGUGGGGGAUAACGUAGGGAAACUUACGCUAAUACCGCAUACGACCUACGGGUGAAAGCAGGGGAUCUUCGGACCUUGCGCGAUUGAAUGAGCCGAUGUCGGAUUAGCUAGUUGGCGGGGUAAAGGCCCACCAAGGCGACGAUCCGUAGCUGGUCUGAGAGGAUGAUCAGCCACACUGGAACUGAGACACGGUCCAGACUCCUACGGGAGGCAGCAGCGGGGAAUAUUGGACAAUGGGCGCAAGCCUGAUCCAGCCAUACCGCGUGGGUGAAGAAGGCCUUCGGGUUGUAAAGCCCUUUUGUUGGGAAAGAAAAGCAGCAGGUUAAUACCCCGCUGUUCUGACGGUACCCAAAGAAUAAGCACCGGCUAACUUCGUG